GAUGAAACAGAGAAUACCCAUGAGUUAAUCCGAAAAUGGAGGUCCAAAAAGAUAUUUUUAUACAAGUGAUGCAACCUCUGAAGUUUCGCUUUUGAUAUUUUUCUUAGUGGCAUAUAUACAAAAGUUAUACGUAAUUUGACACAAGUCCUAAAGCAUCAAUCUAUGCUUCUGAAGGUUUCCUCAAACAGCAAAAUCUUGAACAAUUUAUUUUAGGAGAUGAGAACAUUUUUGUUUAGUUAAAACUUAAGAGCUUUACUUACAAAUGUUAACAAAAAUAGCCAAGGGAAAACAGGCA
This 295-nucleotide unclassified non-coding RNA is filed under the name Hevea brasiliensis (rubber tree). The record is from RNAcentral. Lineage: Eukaryota; Viridiplantae; Streptophyta; Magnoliopsida; Malpighiales; Euphorbiaceae.